Molecule: RNA transcript, 1917 nt
Organism: Papaver somniferum (opium poppy)
Lineage: Eukaryota; Viridiplantae; Streptophyta; Magnoliopsida; Ranunculales; Papaveraceae
Gene name: glucan endo-1,3-beta-glucosidase 14-like
Exons: 4
Source: RefSeq, a predicted model, not a curated record
CUUAGAACUCAAACUAAGAAGAGACUCAAAAACAGAGCAGAGGAGAAAAAUUUCUCACAUUAGAAAUCAAAUUUCUCUUCUCUCUUUUUGAUCAGAAUUUACUUGAUUUGAUGGAUUCUCCGAUCAGAUUUCGCGCUCUUUUCUUCCUUCUUCUAAUUUUAGGAUUCGUGGUUGAAAUACAAAGUUUAGGAGUAGGAAUAAACUACGGCCAGAUCGCAAACAAUCUCCCGUCGCCGCAACGAGUCGCCGUACUACUUCAAUCCCUGAGAAUAAACAAAGUAAAACUCUACGAUGCCGAUCCGAACGUUCUCCGUGCUUUCGCAAACACAAACGUCGAAUUCAUCGUAGGAUUAGGUAACGAACACAUCUCAGACAUGACUGAUCCAACAAAAGCUGAAGCAUGGGUUAAACAAUACGUUCAACCAUUCUUACCACAAACUAAAAUCACUUGCAUCACCGUCGGAAACGAAGUUUUCGGUAGUAAUUUGGCUAAUGCACAGCCGGAAAUCAUGACUAAUCUUUUACCGGCGAUGAAGACAGUUUACAACGCAUUAGUUUCAUUAGGAUUGAGCUCACAGGUGAAUGUCACUACCGCACAUUCGCUUACAAUUUUAUCCAGUUCUUACCCACCGUCAUCUGGUGUUUUCCGGGAAGAUUUCGCGUCUUAUAUUAAACCAAUUCUUGAUUUUCAUGCUCAAGUCAAGUCGCCAUUUCUUAUCAAUGCGUACCCAUUUUUCGCAUACAAGGAUAACCCGAACGAAGUUUCAUUAGAUUAUGUUCUUUUUAAGCCUAAUCAAGGAAUGGUUGAUCCGGUUACAAAUUUGCAUUAUGAUAAUAUGUUGUAUGCUCAAAUUGAUGCUGUUUACGCGGCGAUGAAAGCAAUGGGUCAUUCAGAUGUAGAUAUUAAGAUAUCUGAAACUGGUUGGCCUUCUAAAGGUGAUGAAAAUGAAGUUGGCGCUAACCCGCAGAAUGCAGGAGAAUAUCAUAGAAAUUUAAUUAGUAGAGUUCAACAAGAUAAAGGUACUCCAAUGAAACCAUCUGUUCCUAUCGAUAUCUUCGUCUUCGCGUUGUUUAACGAGAAUAUGAAGCCCGGACCGGCUUCGGAGAGAAAUUACGGGUUGUUCUAUCCGGAUGGUAGGCCGGUUUACAGUCUAGGGGCACAAGGACAGGGGCCACAGGGCUAUCUUCCGGAGCUUGUUUAUUCUUCAGCAUCUAAAGUUCAGGUUAUGACAAUCUUAGGCUUUUUGAUCUUCAUCGUCAUGGGAUUUCUAAUCCAUGUUUGAGCAGAACUCCUAUCUGCUCAACCAAAAAUGCUUUAUGGACAAUUCUUUUGCGGGGCAGCGCCUCAUGGCCGAGUGUUCAUUAACGCGUUCAGUCAUUCAUUUGCGUGUCUAAAAUUUCAAUCGCCAGCUGCAUCUGUCUAUUGCAUAUCCACAAAAGAGCUGUCCAUAAAGCAUAAGUUUGAUGUUCAAUAUGGGAAACAUAAUGAGAGCAAGUGACCAAAAGGAGCUGAACCCACGGAGAGAGUGUGAACAAAAAUUUUCUGCCCAUGCUGUUUGAAGCUCUCACAAGAAAUGAAUUAAAAGGGCAGAGGGAACCAGUACUAAUGCCAUAAUUCUCAAUAUGCAAAUACCAUGGGCAGAUCCAGUUUUGGUUGCGUGCAUCUUGGAUCAUACGAAAAAAUUGAACAUGAAGAAAAUUAAUUCAAAAUUGUACAGUACAUUAAUUCAGAUUCCAAUAUUAUUUUUUAUUUAUUUUUCGAUUCAAUCAUCUAGGAAUAAACAAUAAGCUUCAAAAGAAAAAAGAAAAAAAAAAAACAUUUUUGGUAAUGAAUUGAAAAUGAAGCAAACAAAAAAAAAAUGUAUUACUGCCAGAUUUGGCUUUAAAUUUGCAAUUUUAUUUUAUUUUUUGGCGAUA